UCGUAGUGAAUAUGUGAUUUUGUUGUAAACAUGGAUAAAACUUGUUUUAGUUACUCAUAAGCUAUUGAUUAAACCCAUACGUGAAUUCUAAAUCGUGAUAUUGUAAAACGAUACAUGAGUGUUAGAUGGAUCUUUGAUAUUAAAAUUUAUGAAAUUGUAAGUUUAUGAGUAUUCGAAUAUGAAAUGAUAGUAUGGCGUGAAAUUGAAUUAUUCAUUGGGAAAUGAUUAAUGUAGAUUCGGCCAAGACAAAGUGUAUACAUGAUAGUAUAUGUGAUAUGUGAAGUAUAUUUGGAUAAUUGUGAUGUGAAAGUGUAUAUAUGUGAUAAGGCCGAAUGGCCAAUGUGAUGAAUGUGAAAGUGUAUAUAUAUGUGAUAAGGCCUAAUGGCCGAUGUGAUGAAUGUGAAAGUGUAUAUAUAUGUGAUAAGGCCUAAUGGCCGAUGUGAUGAAUGUGAAAGUGUAUAUAUGUGAUAAGGCCUAAUGGCCGAUGUGAUGAAUGUGAAAGUGUAUAUAUGUGAUGAGGCCUAAUGGCCGAUGUGAUGAAUGUG
RNAcentral lists this long non-coding RNA (545 nucleotides) under Gossypium barbadense (sea-island cotton). RNAcentral describes it as "long non-coding RNA (GBAR_LNC010580)". The record is from RNAcentral. Lineage: Eukaryota; Viridiplantae; Streptophyta; Magnoliopsida; Malvales; Malvaceae.